RNAcentral lists this long non-coding RNA (1579 nucleotides) under Anas zonorhyncha (Eastern spot-billed duck). Its description in RNAcentral is "lncRNA (ENSAZOG00000018522.1)". Lineage: Eukaryota; Metazoa; Chordata; Aves; Anseriformes; Anatidae. The record is from RNAcentral.
AUGUAUUUCUCCUCUGAUGAUUGCAAGGGUACUGCUACCAGGUUUGCCAGCUGUGUGAGUGCCCGCCUGCUGGAGAGGAAGGAGUUACAAGGAGAGGAGAUCAAAGCAGCUGGGAUCUAUCAAGCUAUCAGGGCCCACUGCCAGAGAAGAGAAGGGACUGGGGCUAAGAGGAUGGCUUUGAUCCCAGGAAGAGAGGGCUGUGGGUCAGGAAACAUGAAGUUUCAAGGUGCCAUCGCGUGCUGGUGCACCUGUGCCGUAGCCCUCAGCACGUCCAUCAUCACCCCCAGAGCCAGGCAUGGUGCCACCUGGCUGUGUGUGCAGAGGGUGAGUAAGAGAAAGCUGUGAGGUUGUUGAAAGAGGAAUGUUGUUUUAUUCUGUUUUGCUAGUUAGGAAAAGUAAAUAUGCCAAUGUUUUCUUCGUGAUGAAGAACCUUACAGUGUGCUUGUUUUGCAUGGUGUUGUUCUCCAAAAUAUCUGUUGCACCCAGGCAAAUGUGCACGCACAUGCUUGCAGGAGUCAACUACAAAACAUUACCUUGAGGUCACCCUUGCUAAAAAGUAAUCCAGCAGCUACUGAGAGAAACCGCCAGGAGAGUCCCUUUGUUGUUUAUCUCCCUAAGGCAGUGGCCUUGAAUUAUGAAAAUGGAAGGGGACUGCUCUAAGAACAGUCACGAGGCAAAAAUGUCAUCGCCGUCUGUAUUGAUUAUUUUUUUUUAAUCAGUCAGUGAAAUCUGUUGAUAGAUUUUGCAUUUCAGUGCCUGAUUUAGCUCAGAACGUAAACAUCACCAGCUGGGCAGCUCUGUCAAUAGCACUCAAUUUUCAGAGAGGCUAAAUAUUCUUACAGUAAUGUUAACUAAAUUUUUCUCCAGAAAUUUGUUCUAUUCUGUUUCUCCGCUUAAGAAACAUCUUCAGAAAUCCAGCCAAAAGCACAGAAGGUCUGACUGUGGUGAUCUGCCCUAUUUGGACAUUAGUAGAACAUUAACGAAUCAUCAGCGUAAUGCAAAAUUUACUUUUUCACAUGGUGAUGGUACUACUAUAGUUCCAAAGACACAGAUAUUAAGAGUUUGACAGGAAUGGCAGCAACGUUUCUUAGUCAUAAUGGUAAAUGUCAUUUGGCUGGUGAGAACCAAAGUUGAGGUACACGGCAGUCUUCAUGCACUGUAGCUCAGUAAAUAUGGCACUGGAUCAGGACCAGGAUUCUGCUUGUAUCUUCUUUUUUCUUUCUAGAAAAUAUUCUGUUUCCUUUAUGCUGUAGUUUGCCGUUUGCCUUUGCAAAAAUUACACUUCCUAAAGUUCUCAGAGAUCUAGAGAUGGUAUAUGUAAACUAUUCUUCAUCCUGAAAUUUCACUACACUUCCAAAAGAAAAUAUUUCCUCCAGUUUCUGAGUAGUUGAAGUGGUCAUGGGUGAUAUCUUGAGAGCUUAAGAAAUAACAGCAUUGCAGUGGUUUUGUUCACAAUGACAAAACAUAAAGAGGCACAGUAAGGCAGCUUAUGGGAAAGAUAGUACAAUAACAACACUGACCUCCUGACCCUUGUAAAUUAGGAAGUGCAAUUUCUAAAUCAAAAACAGCACCAGAAACU